ACAGCUCCCCCCUUUCCUUUCUCCCAGCAGGAAAAACGGCGGGAAACGCACUCACACCCCGAAGCCCCGGCGGGGAGGCGCGGGGCGCGGCGCCCGCGCAGCGUGAAUAUUCAUCAGGGGUGGGGCCCGAACAAUGGCCGGGCCGGCGAGCGGCGCGGGCAGCGGCCCGGACACGACGCCCGGCGCCCAGGGCUCGGUGGUAGUUACCGCAUUGGCUGGGCAUCGCUGGGCUGCGCCGACAGAUCCCAAACAGCUCCUCUAAUUGCCUGGUGCAUGCGUUCCGUGGCCUCCAUUUCCUCUUCUGUACACGGAUGAAG
This 317-nucleotide long non-coding RNA is filed under the name Oryctolagus cuniculus (rabbit). RNAcentral describes it as "lncRNA (ENSOCUG00000034894.1)". Lineage: Eukaryota; Metazoa; Chordata; Mammalia; Lagomorpha; Leporidae. The record is from RNAcentral.